This is a long non-coding RNA of Lontra canadensis (Northern American river otter), 440 nucleotides long. RefSeq lists it as uncharacterized. NCBI's taxonomy places the organism in Eukaryota, Metazoa, Chordata, Mammalia, Carnivora, Mustelidae. The record is from RefSeq and is a predicted model, not a curated record. The transcript is spliced from 3 exons.
CUUCAGAUGCCACAUCCUCACGGGACCAGGGUGGAUUCCGGUUUCGGGGCUGGCUGCGAGGCACAGAUGUCUGGCUUCCGCGUGAAAGAGGGCGUUGUGUUGAUGUUGCGGCUACAGCGGGAUUGAUUUCUGGCCUUCGGGGAUCUCACACACAGAGACUGAAGCAGGAAAAUAUGACGACACGUGAUCCACUGGAAUGGAGGCUCCGUGAAUUCAUGCUGGUGCUUUUCUUUGGUUCUGCUCACUGCUGUAUCACACGCCCUUGGAACAACGCCUGCACACAGUAAAGACAUAGAAAAUCUUCUGACGCGUAGAGCUGUGUUUUGACUGCCUGAUGAUUUAGACAAUUACAAAGAACACGGACUUUGGAGUCACCUAGAACUUAGUCUGAAUGCUGCUCUGUUAUCUGCUACUUGUAUAAUCAUUGGCAAGAUAUUGAU